Molecule: non-coding RNA, 270 nt
Organism: Vicia faba (fava bean)
Lineage: Eukaryota; Viridiplantae; Streptophyta; Magnoliopsida; Fabales; Fabaceae
Source: the annotation of a GenBank genome assembly
AUGGCUAAAACAUCAACCUACCUCAAAAGUGAUAAAACAGAGUGUCGUUUUUGUUCAAACUUAUUAGAAUUUUCCCUCCCAAUGUCACUCCAAUGUGCCUAUAAAAAGAGGUCUUGUACACAGAAAAAGAGAACCCAAAAAAAAUACUAUACAAACCCAAAAAUCCCACAAGAAACAACACAAAAAAAUUUGUUCAUCUUUACUGCAACUCUAAGAAAAGACUGCUUACACCAACAACAAAAACUUUUUCUGUCAAAAUACAUCAAAUAA